GACACACCUGUCUACGCCAUUUCAUAAACAACAGAAUCACAGGCAUGGGCUCAGACAUGUUUCUCAGUCCCUUAAUCAAUAAUUCUCUCUCCCUCUAUAUCUCACACACCCACACACACACACAUUCUCUCACACAAUAUAUAUCUAUAUUCGUUCUCCAACUUUUCGCUCCGCAAGUAUAUGAAGCUUUUCAUUCAGCUGCAUAAACGAUGAAAUCCGUGUACAUCAUUUUCUUAUGCUUCCUUAUAACAGUUCUCUGUCUUUCUUCCCACAAGAUCAGUACCGCUUCACGGACUUCUCUCCCAGGAAGACGACCCAUGAGAAAAUUAAGCAUGUCAUUGACCAACAACAAGGUUAAGUAUCAAAAGUUCAAGGUCGUUGAUGGAGACGGAGAGUCAGAAACAUCGAAGUUCCAAGAAAUUCCAGUUGUAAUCAACUUUUCAAACAGCAAGAGUGAUUUAGACGAACUUGUUUAUCACAUCGAUUACCAUGGAGUGACCACUCAUCCAAAUCCAACACCUAGACAUCCCACACCAUAGAUCAUUACUGAACCUUCUUGAUUGAGAGUUAUGCAGAUAUGAUGUACUUAUAUGUGUCAUGAAGGAACUCCUGAUUAAAGUUGUCGUUACUAUUGUUGCGGAAUUCAUGUUUCUUUUCAUCA
Molecule: long non-coding RNA, 661 nt
Organism: Pyrus x bretschneideri (Chinese white pear)
Lineage: Eukaryota; Viridiplantae; Streptophyta; Magnoliopsida; Rosales; Rosaceae
Exons: 2
Source: RefSeq, a predicted model, not a curated record